RNAcentral lists this unclassified non-coding RNA (680 nucleotides) under uncultured Prochlorococcus sp. Its description in RNAcentral is "partial may contain 16S ribosomal RNA, 16S-23S ribosomal RNA intergenic spacer, and 23S ribosomal RNA". The stretch from base 1 to 96 matches the Rfam family "Bacterial small subunit ribosomal RNA", at positions 1438 to 1533 of the family's 1533-position model. Lineage: Bacteria; Bacillati; Cyanobacteriota; Cyanophyceae; Synechococcales; Prochlorococcaceae. The record is from RNAcentral.
CCCUUGUGGAGGAGGACGCCGAAGGUGGGGCUAAUGACUGGGGUGAAGUCGUAACAAGGUAGCCGUACCGGAAGGUGCGGCUGGAUCACCUCCUAACAGGGAGACAACAAAAUGUUUAAUAUUAUUAUUUUGUCACCUUAGGUCGAUCGGUAUCUCACGUUUUUAAUUUAUUAAGAAUUUCAAUUCCUAAGUUUUUCUAGGUCACACCCAUUAUUUUUCCUGGGCCAUUAGCUCAGGUGGUUAGAGCGCACCCCUGAUAAGGGUGAGGUCCCUGGUUCAAGUCCAGGAUGGCCCAUAUCUCUAUGUUGGGGGUAUAGCUCAGUUGGUAGAGCGCCUGCUUUGCAAGCAGGAUGUCAGCGGUUCGAGUCCGCUUACCUCCACUGAUUACCACCUCUUCCAUAAUUUUUAGAAGGGAAAUGUUUUGAGUUGUGAUCUAAUUCUGAACGAAUCUAGCUUCCUAAUGAAAUUAUUAAGAUGCUGGACUCAUUGAAUUAAUUUCAUUGUUUUCAGAGAACCUUGACAACUGCAUAGAUUAUUUUUAAAGACAAUAAGCAUCUUUAAUGAUGCAGAUUUAUUAUUUGUGCGAAUGCAUUAAUAACAAUUCUAUUAAGCUGAUGCUUCAAUUUUGAAGUUAUUGGUCAAGCUACAAAGGGCUCACGGAGGAUACCUAGGCACACAGA